RNAcentral lists this ribosomal RNA (468 nucleotides) under uncultured bacterium. RNAcentral's name for it is "partial 16S ribosomal RNA". It matches the Rfam family "Bacterial small subunit ribosomal RNA", at positions 28 to 507 of the family's 1533-position model. The record is from RNAcentral.
GACGAACGCUGGCGGCGUGCUUAACACAUGCAAGUCGAACGGAAAGGCCCUGCUUUUGUGGGGUGCUCGAGUGGCGAACGGGUGAGUAACACGUGAGUAACCUGCCCUUGACUUUGGGAUAACUUCAGGAAACUGGGGCUAAUACCGGAUAGGAGCUCCUGCUGCAUGGUGGGGGUUGGAAAGUUUCGGCGGUUGGGGAUGGACUCGCGGCUUAUCAGCUUGUUAGUGGGGUAGUGGCUUACCAAGGCUGUGACGGGUAGCCGGCCUGAGAGGGUGAGCGGCCGCAUUGGGACUUAGGUCGGGCCCAGUCUCCUAAGGGAGGCAGCAGUGGGGAAUAUUGAUCAAUGGAUGCAAGCCUGAUGCAGCAACGCCGCGUGCGGGAUAGCAGCCUUCGGGUUGUAAACCGCUUUCGGCUGUGACGAAGCGUGAGUGACGGUAAUGGGUAAAGAAGCACCGGCUAACUACGUG